Molecule: transfer RNA, 77 nt
Filed under: Anaerolineae bacterium
Lineage: Bacteria; Bacillati; Chloroflexota; Anaerolineae
Description: tRNA-Arg
Rfam family: tRNA
About the family: Transfer RNA (tRNA) molecules are approximately 80 nucleotides in length. Their secondary structure includes four short double-helical elements and three loops (D, anti-codon, and T loops).
Source: RNAcentral
GCCCCUGUAGCUCAGUGGAUUAGAGCGCUUGCUUGCGGAGCAAUAGGCCGGGUGUUCGAGUCGCCCCAGGGGCGCCA